GAAACCGUUCAGGGGUAAACCUGAGAAACCCAAAAGAUCGAAUGGGGAGAUUCAUCGUCGACGAGGCUGGCUUCCGUUGGUGCGCAGAUACCCCGUAUGGGCCUUCGUGGUUUCCAGUGCGAGGGUACACCAUCUUCGGCAAAUGUUCCGGUCGCGUAGUCGUGCACUUCUCCCUUAGUAGAACGUCGCGACCCGUUGCGUGUCGGUCUACGGCCCGAGUUGUUGCCUGUCGUGUCGCUACGUGCGCACACGACAGACGCUCGAUCGCCUGGCCGGCUGCGUGACGGUACUCUGACGGUAUCGGGCCGCAACCAAUCCAUUCUCGAAUGUGUGUGCGUCAGGCCCGCCGCAAGCUCGGUUAGUUUUACCCGAAGGUACGGACCUGGUGCCGGCUUCGGGCCUAACCAGCUGUUAGCAGGCGGUGUCCUCGGACUGGCCAAGCUUCGAAUUACCGGUCAGCGACGCUACUGCUUUGGGUACUCUCAGGACCCGUCUUGAAACACGGACCAAGGAGUCUAACAUGUGCGCGAGUCAUUGGGACAUGUAAACCUAAAGGCGCAAUGAAAGUGAAGGUCGUACCUUUGCGUCGACCAAGGGAGGAUGGGCCGCGUUACGAUGCGGCCUCGCACUCCCGGGGCGUCUCGUUCUCAUUGCGAGGAGAGGCGCACCCAGAGCGUACACGUUGGGACCCGAAAGAUGGUGAACUAUGCCUGGUCAGGACGAAGUCAGGGGAAACCCUGAUGGAGGUCCGUAGCGAUUCUGACGUGCAAAUCGAUCGUCGGAACUGGGUAUAGGGGCGAAAGACUAAUCGAACCAUCUAGUAGCUGGUUCCCUCCGAAGUUUCCCUCAGGAUAGCUGGCACUCGCUCGUUCUCUUUGGUGAACGUGUGCGAGUCUCAUCUGGUAAAGCGAAUGAUUAGAGGCCUUGGGGCCGAAACGACCUCAACCUAUUCUCAAACUUUAAAUGGGUGAGAUCUCUGGCUUGCUUGGAUCAAUGAAGCCACGAGAUAUUAUUUGGAUCAGAGUGCCAAGUGGGCCAAUUUUGGUAAGCAGAACUGGCGCUGUGGGAUGAACCAAACGCAGAGUUAAGGCGCCUAAGUCGACGCUUAUGGGAUACCAUGAAAGGCGUUGGUUGCUUAAGACAGCAGGACGGUGGCCAUGGAAGUCGGAA
RNAcentral lists this ribosomal RNA (1170 nucleotides) under Halictus rubicundus. RNAcentral describes it as "eukaryotic LSU rRNA". It matches the Rfam family "Eukaryotic large subunit ribosomal RNA", at positions 401 to 1266 of the family's 3401-position model. Lineage: Eukaryota; Metazoa; Arthropoda; Insecta; Hymenoptera; Halictidae. The record is from RNAcentral.